This is a long non-coding RNA of Rosa rugosa (rugosa rose), 418 nucleotides long. RefSeq lists it as uncharacterized. NCBI's taxonomy places the organism in Eukaryota, Viridiplantae, Streptophyta, Magnoliopsida, Rosales, Rosaceae. The transcript has 3 exons. The record is from RefSeq and is a predicted model, not a curated record.
CCUAAAAUUGUGGAGCCUCUACACGCUACUCUUCUACUACCUCCAGUGAUGAAACUCCAAUAAACCUAAAAGAUCUUAAAUUUCACGGCUUCUCUUCCAUCGCCCAUCACUCUCUCUCGCGUGUGCCUCCAUUCCAGAUCUGCUCGGAAACAAAAAUUGAAAGAAGUUUGGCAGUUGGGCAAUAGUACAAGAGCCUUGCAUCGAUUCUAUGCGAUUGGUCUUGUUUAGGAUUUGAGAUAUUAAUUUGGCUGAACUACUAGCACAGAAGCAAAAGUUGGGACCAUUUGGGCAGGUUUUGCUGCUAUGUAGCAGACUUUUAAGUCAUGGUUGAUAUUUAUGCCUACAGUUCAGUGUUACUCAAUAUAAUUUCUUGUGUAUCUUCAUAUUCUGCUUUGUCCUUUUGGGAUUUUGAUUUUGC